AUAUAUCAACCUUCUCUUGUUUGAGUUGUUUGGAUGUGGGGGUUUGCUGGACUCUUAAAUGAAUCAGCUCCCCUGAAAUGCAUUAGCAGAACAACCUGUUCAUUGGCGUGAUAAUUAUCUAUGCUAUUGAAAGUGAGGGCAGUUCAGCUUUCUAAUCGUCCUUGGACAAUUUAUCAUUA
This 179-nucleotide unclassified non-coding RNA is filed under the name uncultured Cortinarius. Its description in RNAcentral is "sequence contains ITS2". Lineage: Eukaryota; Fungi; Basidiomycota; Agaricomycetes; Agaricales; Cortinariaceae. The record is from RNAcentral.